Zonotrichia leucophrys gambelii is the source of this 1091-nucleotide long non-coding RNA. RefSeq lists it as uncharacterized. The record is from RefSeq and is a predicted model, not a curated record. The transcript has 3 exons. Lineage: Eukaryota; Metazoa; Chordata; Aves; Passeriformes; Passerellidae.
UUAUUACUGUUAGUAAAAGUAACCUCUCUAUGUUCCACCCCACUGCUAACCUUGACUGGUCUUUUCAAUGAGCAGGUCGGCAGCUGCUGCUCAUGUUUAUCAAUCUCUAGUUAUAAUGAGAUUGUAGCGGCUUAGAUUUAAACUUCCGGUAAAUUCUGUGCUGCCCAUGUCAAUAUUCACUACCUACUGUUACUGUGAUACCUACAGAACCCAAAAGUUCAGUAUGUGGUACUGUGUUUGAGUCUGCAACAAAAAAUUAAUAAUAGUUCUAGUAUGGUGUAAGGAGCAUUGAAUUUCCAGGUGUUUAUGGUUAAUUUUGGCAGAAGUAAAUACUCCAUCAUGCUAGGUACUUGGCCCAUAAUAGUCAAUAAAGGAGACCACCUAAAAAUAGAGAUGAUAAAUCUGGCUUUGUGAUCAAAGAAGAAUCUGAGUAAUUUUUAGCUGGAAAAUUCCUCAAACUGUAAGAGUGCAAGAAUUCCUGGCAUUGUUCUACAGAAGCUGGGAAGAUUCAGGGACCACUAUUAAUGAAAACGUCCAACUGUCCCUAGAAUGAGCCACUCGGGAAAUCAUUGGGACCUAAUGAUUUUGCAGAGACAUUUAGCACGCAAAAUUUAGGAGGGACCCCACAUCUGCCUCCUAAGGACUGAAUUACCCUAAUUUUCUUGUGUCUCUAAGCCUCAGCUUUUUCUAACACCAUGCUUCUGGGGAGGGAUGCUGUGAAAACAUCAAGAAGAGGGCUGGUUCCCAGGUGUGGCACAAAUAUGCAACAUGCCAAAGCCUUCGCAGGAAAACAUCUGUAACCAGCACAGAGGAAACAUUAUGAGGCCUUGAUUCAGGAUUAGGCUCAUGCACAAUAUUUUCAAAACUAAAAGGGAAGCUGCAUGCUCACAGUACUGCUAGUAUUUAAAUUUUUUGCUGGCUUCAGUUGACACUGUUGCUAAAUGAGAUUUGAUGAAGCAAUGCUUUGCCAUAAACCAUUGAAUGGUUUUCACAUGGUCAUGAACUGUCUGUACAGCAAAUGUGGCAACUUUAAUAAGAACAUGCACUGUAAAUAAAACAGCAAAUAAAUAAAUAAAUAAUGAAUGAAUGCA